GAUAAACGCUGGCGGCAUGCCUAAUACAUGCAAGUCGAACGGGGUUAAUGAUGCUUGCAUCAUUAACCUAGUGGCGAACGGGUGAGUAACACGUAGUUAACCUACCCAUUGGACUGGGACAACUUUUGGAAACGAAAGCUAAUACCGGAUAGGAAGCAAUUUUAAAGGAGCGUGUGCUCCGCCAAUGGAAGGGACUGCGUCUGAUUAGCUAGUUGGUAGGGUAAGAGCCUACCAAGGCAACGAUCGGUAGCCGGACUGAGAGGUUGAACGGCCACACUGGGACUGAGACACGGCCCAGACUCCUACGGGA
Molecule: ribosomal RNA, 310 nt
Filed under: uncultured bacterium
Lineage: Bacteria
Description: bacterial SSU rRNA
Rfam family: Bacterial small subunit ribosomal RNA
Source: RNAcentral